GAUGAACGCUGGCGGCGUGCUUAACACAUGCAAGUCGAACGAAGCAUUUGCGACAGAUUUUUUCGGAAUGAAGUUGCUUAUGACUGAGUGGCGGACGGGUGAGUAACGCGUGGGUAACCUGCCUUGUACUGGGGGAUAGCAGCUGGAAACGGCUGGUAAUACCGCAUAAGCGCACAAUGUUGCAUGACAUGGUGUGAAAAACUCAGGUGGUAUAAGAUGGACCCGCGUCUGAUUAGCUAGUUGGUGAGAUAACAGACCACCAAGGCGACGAUCAGUAGCAGACCUGAUAGGGUGACCGGCCACAUUGGGACUGAGACACGGCCCAGACUCCUACGGGAGGCAGCAGUGGGGAAUAUUGCACAAUGGAGGAAACUCUGAUGCAGCGACGCCGCGUGAGUGAAGAAGUCAUUCGUUAUGUAAAGCUCUAUCAGCAGGGAAGAUAGUGACGGUACCUGACUAAGAAGCUCCGGCUAAAUACGUG
RNAcentral lists this ribosomal RNA (481 nucleotides) under uncultured bacterium. Its description in RNAcentral is "partial 16S ribosomal RNA". It matches the Rfam family "Bacterial small subunit ribosomal RNA", at positions 28 to 507 of the family's 1533-position model. The record is from RNAcentral.